This 497-nucleotide ribosomal RNA is filed under the name uncultured bacterium. Its description in RNAcentral is "partial 16S ribosomal RNA". It matches the Rfam family "Bacterial small subunit ribosomal RNA", at positions 28 to 507 of the family's 1533-position model. The record is from RNAcentral.
GAUGAACGCUGGCGGCGUGCCUAAUACAUGCAAGUCGAGCGAACGGACGAGAAGCUCGCUUUUCUGAUGUUAGCGGCGGACGGGUGAGUAACACGUGGAUAACCUACCUAUAAGACUGGGAUAACUUCGGGAAACCGGAGCUAAUACCGGAUAAUAUUUUGAACCUCAUGGUUCAAAAGUGAAAGACGGUCUUGCUGUCACUUAUAGAUGGAUCCGCGCUGCAUUAGCUAGUUGGUAAGGUAACGGCUUACCAAGGCAACGAUGCAUAGCCGACCUGAGAGGGUGAUCGGCCACACUGGAACUGAGACACGGUCCAGACUCCUACGGGAGGCAGCAGUAGGGAAUCUUCCGCAAUGGGCGAAAGCCUGACGGAGCAACGCCGCGUGAGUGAUGAAGGUCUUCGGAUCGUAAAACUCUGUUAUUAGGGAAGAACAUAUGUGUAAGUAACUGUGCACAUCUUGACGGUACCUAAUCAGAAAGCCACGGCUAACUACGUG